RNAcentral lists this ribosomal RNA (468 nucleotides) under uncultured bacterium. RNAcentral describes it as "partial 16S ribosomal RNA". It matches the Rfam family "Bacterial small subunit ribosomal RNA", at positions 28 to 507 of the family's 1533-position model. The record is from RNAcentral.
GACGAACGCUGGCGGCGUGCUUAACACAUGCCAGUCGAACGGAAAGGCCCUGCUUUUGUGGGGUGCUCGAGUGGCGAACGGGUGAGUAACACGUGAGUAACCUGCCCUUGACUUUGGGAUAACUUCAGGAAACUGGGGCUAAUACCGGAUAGGAGCUCCUGCUGCAUGGUGGGGGUUGGAAAGUUUCGGCGGUUGGGGAUGGACUCGCGGCUUAUCAGCUUGUUGGUGGGGUAGUGGCUUACCAAGGCUUUGACGGGUAGCCGGCCUGAGAGGGUGACCGGCCACAUUGGGACUGAGAGACGGCCCAGACUCCUACGGGAGGCAGCAGUGGGGAAUAUUGCACAAUGGGCGGAAGCCGGAUGCAGCAACGCCGCGUGCGGGAUGACGGCCUUCGGGUUGUAAACCGCUUUCGCCUGUGACGAAGCGUGAGUGACGGUAAUGGGUAAAGAAGCACCGGCUAACUACGUG